GCCUACGCAAGUAGUGAGGAAGGCGGGGAUGACGUCAAAUCAGCACGGCCCUUACGUCCAGGGCUACACACGUGCUACAAUGGCCGAUACAGAGGGCAGCUACCUGGUGACAGGAUGCAAAUCUCCAAAGUCGGUCUCAGUUCGGAUCGGAGUCUGCAACCCGACUCCGUGAAGUUGGAUUCGCUAGUAAUCGCGCAUCAGCCAUGGCGCGGUGAAUACGUUCCCGGGCCUU
This 232-nucleotide ribosomal RNA is filed under the name uncultured Sphingobacteriales bacterium. Its description in RNAcentral is "partial 16S ribosomal RNA". It matches the Rfam family "Bacterial small subunit ribosomal RNA", at positions 1151 to 1382 of the family's 1533-position model. The record is from RNAcentral. Lineage: Bacteria; Pseudomonadati; Bacteroidota; Sphingobacteriia; Sphingobacteriales.